GGUCUUGUAGUGUAGAGGUAACAUGUCUGACUACGGAGCACAAAGUCGAUGGUUCGGGCCCUACCCAUGGCUG
Dryococelus australis is the source of this 73-nucleotide non-coding RNA. The record is from the annotation of a GenBank genome assembly. Lineage: Eukaryota; Metazoa; Arthropoda; Insecta; Phasmatodea; Phasmatidae.